AUGCACGCUAGCGGGAGGCCUAACACAUGCAAGCCGAGCGGUAUUUGUUCUUCGGAACAGAGAGAGCGGCGCACGGGUGCGGAACACGUGUGCAACCUGCCUUUAUCUGGGGGAUAGCCUUUCGAAAGGAAGAUUAAUACCCCAUAAUAUAUUGAGUGGCAUCACUUGAUAUUGAAAACUCCGGUGGAUAGAGAUGGGCACGCGCAAGAUUAGAUAGUUGGUGAGGUAACGGCUCACCAAGUCAAUGAUCUUUAGGGGGCCUGAGAGGGUGAUCCCCCACAAUGGUACUGAGACACGGACCAGACUCCUACGGGAGGCAGCAGUGAGGAAUAUUGGACAAUGGGUUAGCGCCUGAUCCAGCCAUCCCGCGUGAAGGACGACGGCCCUAUGGGUUGUAAACUUCUUUUGUAUAGGGAUAAACCUACUCUCGUGAGAGUAGCUGAAGGUACUAUACGAAUAAGCACCGGCUAACUCCGUG
RNAcentral lists this ribosomal RNA (478 nucleotides) under uncultured bacterium. RNAcentral describes it as "partial 16S ribosomal RNA". It matches the Rfam family "Bacterial small subunit ribosomal RNA", at positions 29 to 507 of the family's 1533-position model. The record is from RNAcentral.